This 873-nucleotide long non-coding RNA is filed under the name Homo sapiens (human). Its description in RNAcentral is "non-protein coding lnc-PIGN-10:1". The record is from RNAcentral. Lineage: Eukaryota; Metazoa; Chordata; Mammalia; Primates; Hominidae.
CUCAAAGAAACAAACUAAGGAAGACAAACAACAAAUCACUGACAUUUAUGAAACAAGGAGAAAUUUGAACAAAAGCCAGACAGUUGAUGAUAUUAAGUUGUUAUUGUUAUGUUGGUGUGAUAAUGAUAUUGUGUUUAUGUUUUUUUAAAUAAUACUUAUCUUUAAAAGAUACAUAUCAGAGAAUGGGAGGGAGAAGUAGGUCAGGUAUGGAUGAAAUUGAAGCUGGGUUACAGUUAUAACAUGUAUAGAAAUUCAUGUUUUUGCCUUGAAAAUCUAAAAAUGAAAAUGUAAUAAUAACUAUAUUUAAUUAUUAACUAAAUUCAAGUCCCUACUUGUACAGCUUCACUUAAUAUUUAAAUGUUUUAUGAUUUGAGGUAGAUAGCUAUCAUCAUUGCUUGAUCAAAACCCAUUCAGCUUUCUUCUCAUGUGUCACCCUGAUCUGUGGCCCUCCUCAUCACUCUGAGUAGAUGCUCAACUCAAUUUGCAUUUGAAAUACAGUCUUAUCACAGAUGCUUCUGUAGAAGAGAAACUUAAAAAGAAGAAAAACAGUAGAAUGUUUUUAAAAAGUUGUGGAAAUAGGUGGUAUAAUUUACCUCGUAUCCUAAACGACUAUCUGCUGACAUUCGACAAAAAGAGAGUAGUGCUUGAUGGAAUGCAGGAGACAAUUUCCUAGAAGAAAAUGUAUGAAAAAGAGACAAUAUCAAAUAAUUACCAUUGACAUUUAAGGAGAAAUUUAAGUUAUGUAUUAUAACUUCCAUUCCAGCAUUAAUCCUACCCCACAAAGCUAACCAGAUUUCUGAGCCACCAGUGACUUGAAGAACACUUCACUGGAGAAACUUAUACAGGUCACUUAGGAGAAAAAAAAUCAACAGU